This 19844-nucleotide long non-coding RNA is filed under the name Prunus persica (peach). Its description in RNAcentral is "long non-coding RNA (PPER_LNC008416)". Lineage: Eukaryota; Viridiplantae; Streptophyta; Magnoliopsida; Rosales; Rosaceae. The record is from RNAcentral.
UAUUCAAUCACAACAUUAUAACUGUAAGUGACUAGAUGAAAGUACCUAAAAAAUUAAGUAUUCCAUCCAAAAUGAGAUGAUAUUAUGUUAUUGGUUUACACCCAUCAAACAGAUACUCUGCUUACAAAUGAAUAAGUAGUCCCUAAAAAGUGAAGCUGUUCUAACGGUUAAAAAAAGGUUUCAAGCUUUGAGGUUAAAAAAAGCAAAAAGGUUUUGGUUCAAUUGGGACAGUCUAGCAGGCCAUGGUGGAUCUGAGUGGCACCGACCCGUUAUCCUUCCACUGCCAAGAGCGGGAGGUAGUUCGUUGCUCUGUGAAGCCAGCCUUACGCAGUGCCCUCCACUCUAGAAACCCAGUGACCCAGAGCCUUCGCUCAAGCCACAGGGUUCAACUCCUGGCUUGGAAUGGGCGGGCCAGAAGAUAGCCAACCCGAACCCGACCAGCUAAUACUGGGACAAUGUUCCAGCACCUCAAAGCCCCCACUCGGGUUACAAGCUCACGUUGCUGAGCUCGGCGAUCCAACUUCCUCCUGUUAGGUUUAUGAAGUGUGGUUUUUGAUAUCAACCGAGCGAUGUGGGAUAAGUUGCAAGAGCGAGUGCCUCUUUAGGAUAAGAUCUUGGCCUUCAUAUAAUGACUUGACUUUUGCAGGGGCUUUUUAUGGAAAAAUAGAGAUAAAAAGGAAAGAUCAGUCUACCUUGGCUUUGAGGAUGGUCCCGUCUGCAAGAUGAACCAGCUUAAAGUAGCCCGAUUCGUCAACGGAAACCACCUUGGAUGAGAACCUGAUGGUGCCACUGGGGAGUUCAUUUGCAAGGCCUUCCAACAACAAGUUCCUUUUCACGCAUCGAAUUUCAUGGUUUCCGCUGCACAUCAUGUACAUUCUCAAUCUUUUGAGCAUGCUUGAAUAUGGAUACUAAUAACAAAAUCAUUUAAAAAGAAGCAAAUUAAUAGAAUCUAGCAAACAAUUGAUUUCCAAUAUUAAGCAUCAAGUAAGAUACUUUUAGCACUUAUGCUACUGAUAAACUUACUGCUUUCCUUUGGCCUUAAAUGACAUCUCAAACGUUUGAAGCCCUGUAAUUCUUGAGGAAGUCACAUUCCUGUACAUUCAAAUCUCUGCAAUCAGUUUUGUGCGUGCAAAAGUAGAACUUAGUAAGUACCAACAAAGAUGUUAGGAUUGAUUUUGCUUAACUAACAGUCGAGAUUGGCGGUCUGAUAACAUAACAUGUUAGGAUAGUUGAAGAGGCAAGAGAGAGUGAUGCAUGGAGAGAAAAUUACCCAUCAAGUGGGACAUGUUGUUGGCGAAGAGAAUCGGCAAGACCAAGGGCAUCUAAGGCCUUCCAUGCAUUUGUCCAUGUUGUCAACGCAAAACCUGUUGUCCUCAAACUAUCAGAUGAUUCUAACACCAAGCUUCUAAUCCCCAGCCUGCACCCAGAAAUUUCAAUUUUGAUUCCGACCAUAGUAACAAAUAUAUGAACCGUGAACAUUAGCAUGUGUGUAUUAGAGAGAGAGAGAGAGAGAGAGAACCUGUGAAGUCCUAAGGAUGUUGCAAGGCCAGAAAUUCCAGCUCCCACAAUCACAACAUCUGCUUCUUCUUCCAUGUUGUACUUGAUUAUGCUCAGGAGCGUCCCCGGUGGUUCUUCUAGAGCUUAGGCUUCCAGCAUAUGACCACACCCUCUCGAAAUCAGCUGCCAGUAAUUUCUCUGUCUUCUCGUCUAGUGCCUCUUUUCGAAUGCUGCGCUUUACACACAGAGGUGUCCUUCCUGGACUACCAACAACUGGAGUGGAGGAACAGAAAGUCGGAGUUGCUAGUGGAGAGGCAUAAUUAAGCUGAAGAUGACGAUUAGGAUGACGAAUUUUACUUCUUAUACUUGAUUAUGCUUCUGCUUUUACUUCUUAUAUUUGUGAUGGGGAUGUAAAGGACAGGCAUAAUUAAGCUGAAGAUGACGAUAAGGAUGACGAAUUAGGAAAAAAUGGCUAUACUAUUUUUAUUGUUUAAAAAAGAAAAAAAAUCGCAUUUUAAGAAACAUUAAUAAAUACGUGUGUAGCCGAGCGGGUAUACUAAUUUUUUAUAGAAUCAGAAAAAACUUAGUAUCGCCACACGGCUAUACUAUUUAUAGUUUUUUAAAAAGGCCCGCCAUGCGACUAGGCGUUCACUUGUCAAAAUACGUACAGCCGCAAGGUUAUACUAUUUAAAAAUAAAAAAAAUAAAAAACGGAAUAUAGUCAUGCGGCUAUACGCUUUAAAUACAUUAUAUUUAAAAGGUAUAGCCACGUUAGCAAACUAACGAAAUUUUUGAUCGAAAUUUUUGACAGAAUUUAACGACAGAGACCAUUUGUGAUCACACAUACUAACCUUGAGGACCACAAAUGACACAAAAAAACAUUAAAAAUGUAAUCUGAUAGUUUCGUCAACAAUAUGGACGUUUUGUGAUACUAAGCCUAAAAAAAUUAAGAAAAACGGACCUUUUAUCUUUUCUAAUUUUCCUGCAUCUCUUUGCUUCAUUUUUGUUUCACAUCUCCCUCUUCCUUUUAAUUCUUUAAUCGAAAAACAUAAACAAAUAAUCUUUUGUUAUAAAAUAACCUAGAAUAUGUGCGAUAAUUCAGAGCUGCACGUAAAGUAGAUGAGACACAGCAUUUAACGAGGUUCGGCUAUGCCUACGUCCUCGGAGAGCAGCAGCAGUAACUUUUUCACUAUGUAAAAUAAUAGGGCUACAAGUUUAGUGUUUACAAUAUAUGUGGCUCACUGAAUUUUCUCUCUAGGAGAAUUUCUCUCUGCUCUCUCUUCUCUCUUUCUUCCUUCUCUUCCUUUCUCUUUUUCUUCUCUUCUUCUUUCCGUUUCUCUUCUUAUUUAUAGGCUGAAAUAAUCACUAUUCAUCACUAUUCAUCACUGUUCACCCGUGACAGACAGACUCUAUCAAAGCCGCCAAAUGAACAGUAAUGAACAAUAAUGAACAGUAAUGAAAACUCUAUCAAGCCGCCAAAUGAACAGUAAUGAAUAGUUAGUGGGCUCCACAUGUUUAUUCUUUUACAACACUCCCCCUUGGAGACCACUAAUGAUAUGUCGGUUGUAUCAUUAAAGACUUGCUUGGAGAAAACCUAGUAAGGUAGAGAACUGAUGAAAAGAAGAGUACAACAAUCUGUAUAGCAUACUUAUGGAUGCUCCCCCUGAUUAAUAUCUCCCCCUGAUGUCUUCAUGACUAUCUUUUGGAUUGAGAAUCUUUCGGAGUGAGUGGAUGAUGUAGCCACCAACAAUUCAUAUAGUAAAUAUAUUUCCAGUGAGCUAUCUCUAUGUAAAUCAUAGAAAUUUUCAGAGUCCGCAUAUCUAAUAACGCUUGGGCUAUUUAUAAGUUCACUUGAAAGAAUAUGCCCAUACAUGGUGUUAUGCGGAAAUAGCAUCAAAUAUACCUCACAUCAUCCCAAAAUGAUGGUGAUGGAGUUGAGCCUUAUCUGGAAAAUAUGAUGUUCGGUCCAACAUACUUCCGGAAAAUUCUUAAAGUGCCCAACGGAUAAUCCUCAUAAAAAUGCUUCAAUACUUUCUUAGUAUAAGCAAGUAUCUCGUUGGCAUAAUGCUCGAUCUUUAAGUCGAGACAAAUAUUUCUGGAAUUCUUGAGAAGCUUUAAUGUGUUGCAAACACAUUAUAAUCAAUAUACUCACUGAGGCAAUUUAUGUACAUUAACAUUGAGUACAGAUUUUGUGCUUCAGGCACAUGUCCACAGACUUGCUUCAUGCAAUUUCAAUCCUUUCAAGGAUUUUGUUUAAAGGGAUUAAACUCUAUGACACAUUAUAUAGCUUUAACCCAGCUAUUUAUAUAUCUUUAGGGAAUCACUUCAGGUGAUAUGCUCUGUGCAUUUAAUAACCCUUAAAGAUAACAUGUUGGUCUUCGUAAAUGUGCAAUAAAGGGGCACAAUUGAAUCUAUAAAUAUGGAGAAAACCCAACAUCCCUUGUUUAUGUCAAAAACAUUGUGUCAUACUGUGGGUUUGUUCUUUCACGUUCAUUCUCAUCUAUAAUGGAAUUGCCUCAUUUCAUUUUGGCCAAUGAUAUUGUCGACAUUUAAUAAUUGAACGUGGUUCCAAUCAACACAGCCCAUUGAUGAUUUGAGUAGCUACUCCAAAAUCAAAAAUUGUCAUUCAUCAAUUCAUGAUCCCACCAUUCUCAUUUGCAUGCGCAUGCAUCAAUUAUAAGCAUUUCUUUGCUUUUGGGUACCCAAGCCACUUCAUGGGGCUUUUAUUAUGUGAGAAUGUGGAUUAUAACAUCUAUUGGAGCGUUAUUUUACAUAGGGCGUGGAAAAUCUCCAUUUAGGGAGUUGGAACAUUUAGAACCCAUAUAUCUGUCAUGCUGCAGGCAUGCCACAGAUUAAUACAUACAUGUCAAUUAAUUUAUGGGACUUUAACCCAUAUAAUUUGCUAUGCAUUAGGCGUGCAUAAUAUCAAUAUUGACAUGUCAAAGGAUUGUCAUUUCGGGACUUCAAUCCAUAUCAUUUGCUACGCAACAGGCGUGCACCCAUAUUGAUCACUGCUAUACCCAUAUUCUGUUUUUGUGAGACUUUAAUCUGUGCAGUGUAUUAUCAAUGUAUCCAACUUGCAAUCUGUAAAAUUUGCAUUAAUAAUUCAUGGAUACAUACAAGUCAUUCUUUUGGAACGGACUUAUCUCCCCAUUUGGUUACCUUUCAAGAUAAAAUAUCAAAUAGGUAUAUAAGCAUAAAAUAACACAAGUAUUGCUUACAUCCUUAGGUGGGAGAAACUUUUCUCAAGUAUCAUUCAAGCUCAUAUCAGCCCAGUAAAUAUAAUGUAGCGCUUGAUGAUCUAGUUAUAUCCUGCAAGAGCAAAAAUCACAACUCUUUUGCCUCUGUCAAAACAAAUAACCCUCAUAGUUAUGAUUACUUCAUGGAUUCAUUCUUCAUAUGUUCAUUCUAAAAAAAUAAAAUCUCUUAUGAACAGAGAGUUAUAAAAAGAGAAAAAAUGCAAAAAUAAUGUGAUAUUGAUUGCAAGAGAAGGUAAGCAAUCAGGGAAGGAAGCUGGUGGGAGCAGACAAUAAGCUCUCAUAUCUCCUAGUCUAGAAGGACCUCAGGAGAUUAGAGCAUAAGGCCGCCUUUACAAUUCCCUGAUCUUGCAGAAACAUGAUCAGGGAUAGUCUUGCUUCCUGAAUGGAUGAUCAGAGAUAGUCUUGCUUCUCAGGCAUAUUAAGUGCUUACUGAUAAGAAAAACAAGUAGAUAUCGCAUCACUAGGUAUGGAGUAAACUAGAUGUCUUCUGUAAAGAAAAUUUCGUUAGUAACACAUUUAUACACAAAUACAAUGAAUAGGUAGAACCGGUGAAUUUCAAAUUAACCAUAGGAAAAUUGCGAGAUUCUCGGGAUGCUGUUGAAAAAGUGCGAGAUUCUCGGGAUGCUUUUGAAAAAGUAGCUCCGUGAAAUCCGUAAAGCAAGAUCGGCUUUGAAAAUAAUGCUUGAAAACGCCGAAAGUGCCGACAGGCAUUAUUAGAGGCCACGUGAAGUUUUGGACUCUAGGAAAGAAAAAGAUAAUAUGGGGAUUCGAGAAGAUAUUGGGGUCCUGAAAAACAGUAGCCAUAUUUCCUCCUAUAGAUAUGGCCUUUGUAAAACUUGAUUGGAGCAACUGCGUUUCAACUCAAAUUUCUUCAUUUUCUGAAACUUUAGUUUUCCUAAGACUUUCUUCGAAACCUUCUCAAAAAUGGCUUCCUCUUCUUCCUGCCCAAAUUAUUUCAAUUUAAAUGAUGCUCCAACAGCAAACAGUGACGCCAAAGUUUGGCGUCCAUCCUUUGUAUCCCAAAAUCGUCAUCUCACAGUUAAUGAUCCUGUGAUGAUGAAUGAUGCUACUGCUGUCAUAGUAGCUAGGAAUUUCAUUACUCCAAUGGAUGAAAUGCUGUUAACAGGGAGGUCUGAGGAAGAGGCUAUUAAUGACUCAAUGGCUUUUAGCAUUCAGAGUGCUGUUUCUGUUUCUAACAUGGCUGAUCGUUUGCGUGUUAGAGCGAACGAGGUUGAGAAGCUGACAACUGAAAAUUCGUCUCUCCAAAGAAUGCUUCAUGAGUCUCAACAGGAGGUUGAGAAACUUAAAGGAGAGAAUAAUUCCUUGUUGAAACUGGUGAGUUCGUACUCAGUUGAUACACUGAGAAGGCUAGACAUGCUGCAGGUCUCCAAUGAAAGAAUUUUGGGAGACCACGAGAAGCUCAUGGCUAAGCUUAAGAGGCGCCGUCCUCUUCCUUCAGAGGCUUCCAGAACAUAAUGUAAUUUUAUAGAUUUUACAGGGCCUGCACCUUCAUUGCAGGUGGAAAAAAUCUAUUUGUUGUAUGUUUCUGUAAUAAUAAUUGCGCACAUUCUUAAACUUGCACCUGUGGUUUUUACGUCUUUUCAAAAUGACGGUUUGGAACCUUGUGCCUUAUAGGUUCAAAUAACCACAUUGUCUCUCCCAAAUUGCAUGGUAGCCCGGAACUUUUGGCCUGGGCACAAACUCAGAAUUUAUUUGCCCUUUUCAAAUGGACAUGAAAUAUGAAUUGAGUAAAAGCCACGAUAAUAUCGCAAUAUAGUAGUGAAGAGCAUUAACUACUAUAUACCCACAACUUCAAGUUCAGGAUCUCUCAUAUAUUUGGAUCCAUGGGCUUCCGGCCCAGGUAUAAUAAAAUAUGUGGGGAGCCUCAAUUCAUUAUUUGAGGUUUAUAUUGAUAUUAUCCAUUUCGCGGUGUAUUCUUAACAACCGAAAUUCACAAAAUAUAUUUCUUCCUUGAGGUGUCGAUUAUAACAGAAUCGAACUUUAUUAAAUUCAUCAUCUUCUUAUGCCAAAGAAAUAUGUGGUGUACCACAAUUUGCAAUAAUACCUCAAGGGUUGUCCAUUUAAUUGUUGGAACUUCAGGUUCUCAAUACUCUUAAAUUUUGAACUUCAGGCCAAAGCCACAUAUUCUCAUGGUAUGGACAUUUUUACAAUUUUCUGUACAUAUUCCGGGACUUCAAGCCCUUACAUAAUUGUCCAUAUUUUGAGGAACUUCUGGCAUCUCAUUUAAUUUCUCAUCCAUGAGUUUAAGGAACUGCAGGUUCCCUUUUGUAUAUAGUGACGGUUUACCCAAAAUGGUUCAUAUUUAUGCAUACGUCACUAUUCAUGUGAAUAGUACUAUUCAUCAAGUCAUGAAUACGUAUCUAUUCAUCUGCCAGUACAGUUAUCAUCAAUGUGUACGGCACCAUGAAACUGCAGGUUCCCUUUUGUAUAUAGUGACGGUUUACCCAAAAUAGUUCAUAUUUAUGCAUACGUCACUAUUCAUGUGAAUAGUACUGUUCAUCAAGUCAUGAAUACAUAUCUAUUCAUGUGUACACUACAUCUGCCAGUACAGUUAUCAUCAAUGUGUACGGCACCAUGAAACUGCAGGUUCCCUUUUGUAUAUAGUGACGGUUUACCCAAAAUAGUUCAUAUUUAUGCAUACGUCACUAUUCAUGUGAAUAGUACUGUUCAUCAAGUCAUGAAUACAUAUCUAUUCAUGUGUACAGUACAUCUGCCAGUACAGUUAUCAUCCAUGGCUCAUAUUUAUGCAUACGUCACUAUUCAUGUGAAUAGUACUGUUCAUCAAGUCAUGAAUACAUAUCUAUUCAUGUGUACAGUACAUCUGCCAGUACAGUUAUCAUCCAUGUGUACGGCACUAUGAACCAAUACGGUACUAUUACAUCAUUAAGGAACCCCAGGUCCUUAUUCACAUGUCAGGGAUCAAGGACCUUUAAGUCCAAUCACAUGUUUACAAGUAUAGUACCGGAGAGACUGCCAGCUCUCAUAUCAAUAUCAUCAUCAAGGAUCUUCAAGUCCUGAUGUAAUUGUAUGAUGAGGAUCAAGGAAUUGCUGGUCCUGAUCUGCAUACUGUAAAAACUCAUCAUACAGCACAUUUAAUCCAUAAAAUAAAUUGCUGGUAAAUAAAUUACUGGUAUGGACGAUAAAACCCGCACCACACUUUAAAUAAAAGUAAAGGCGUGGACGAUAAACCCGCACCACCCUUUUAAAUAAAUGUAAAUGUGCGGUAAUUUAAAUUCAUAAAUUAAACGUGCGUGUAUGGGCACUAAUUCUGCUCCAUACUUUUAAAUGAACGUAAAGGCGUGGACGAUAAACCCGCACCACCCUUUUAAAUAAAUGUAAAUGUGCAGUAAAUUAAAUUCAUAAAUUAAUUUGUUAGUAUUAGUAACGGUCUCCCACUGAUAAUAUGUUUAGUAUUACCAAGGGUCCAUUUUUGUUAAUGGUUAGUAAUAGAAAAGCAGAUAAAUAUAGUAUAUUAUAUUACCAUCAACUUUUCAUAUAUAUAUAUAUUAUACUGAUAUAUUAGUGGAAAGCUAGAUGCGUUGGCUUUUCUUCUUUACAUCAACAUAAUGGUUAGUAUUAUAAAUAAUAGUGCAGCACAAAAAUUAUACCUGAGAGCUUCUCGUGCUGAUAACGUGUUAUAAAAUAACCUAGAAUAUGUGCGAUAAUUCAGAGCUGCACGUAAAGUAGAUGAGACACAGCAUUUAACGAGGUUCGGCUAUGCCUACGUCCUCGGAGAGCAGCAGCAGUAACUUUUUCACUAUGUAAAAUAAUAGGGCUACAAGUUUAGUGUUUACAAUAUAUGUGGCUCACUGAAUUUUCUCUCUAGGAGAAUUUCUCUCUGCUCUCUCUUCUCUCUUUCUUCCUUCUCUUCCUUUCUCUUUUUCUUCUCUUCUUCUUUCCGUUUCUCUUCUUAUUUAUAGGCUGAAAUAAUCACUAUUCAUCACUAUUCAUCACUGUUCACCCGUGACAGACAGACUCUAUCAAAGCCGCCAAAUGAACAGUAAUGAACAGUAAUGAAAACUCUAUCAAGCCGCCAAAUGAACAGUAAUGAACAGUAAUGAAUAGUUAGUGGGCUCCACAUGUUUAUUCUUUUACAACAUCUUUUAUUUUUUAUUUUUAUUUUAAAAAAACGAAACAAGUACAUAGCACAACGGUUAUUUAAAUUUGAAGGUUAAUGCGUACAAGAAAUUGCUUUGAAUUUUUUCAAGUUCUGGCAAAACCCAAUUUGAGCUGAAGAUGACGAAUGAUAAUUGGCGGUCAUCAAUACUGACAGCAGCAGAAUGUGUCUGGGUUUGACUUCCCUUCCCUUCUCUUCUUCUUCUUGUGCUCAAAACAGAUAAGCUGUCUGUUUUGACUGUGGAGGCAAAUCAAAAUAAACUCUGGGUUAUUCCAUGGAGAACAUGCCGAGCAUUUAUCGCAGCUUGUGUGUUCUCGAAUCGCAAGUACACAUGACCAGCGGUAUUCCUGCUCAUUGACAUGAAUGUAAGUCACAUGUGCAAGAGACAAAGGACAACAUAACUAACGCGAACAAACUUACUUGUCUACAAAGAUAUGCCUCAAAUUCCUGUAUUUUGAACACUCCUCCUGAACAUCUUCUUUAAUGUCCAAGUCAAAGUUUGGUUCCGUCUGCUCAAAAAGGAAGACAAAUUAUAUAAUAUAACCACCAAGGAAAUGAAGAAAAUCUCUCAGUAUCAGAAGAAUCCAUCACCAACCUCAACUGCUGGAUUAAACAUAUUUUUCAACAGUAAACAUUCGCUUGGAACACCAAUUGUAUCUAUAGAAGGAAGAGCAGAAGUAGGAAUUUGAAGACCAGCAACACCAAGUCCAGCGAUACCAGGAACAGCGGUGAUGGGAGGAACAAGAGGAGAAAUCACUGCUGCAGCUCCCAGGAGUGGUGCCGUCGGUAGUGCCAUUGGUAAAGAAACACCGGUGCUAUUGACAGCCGGAGUGCCUAGGGGACCAGCAAUACUGCAUACAAAGCCAAUGUAAGACCAACUAAAACAAUUCAAAAUAGAAUAAAGUGCUCAGAAAAUACCAACCCUGAUCCAGAGCCACUGCGAUCCAAUUUCUGCAUGAGAAUUGCCCGAGAGCGGGCAUUCAAUGACUGUAAGAUUAAUAAAACAAUACGUCAAUUACCUUCACUCAGGUCAACAAAAAAAAUUAUGCAGUGCAGACACUCUUUCUAUGCCAAACUAUCACCCUUGGCUUUGCAGUGCUGAUGUCUGCAAUGCCUUGAGAGACGAUGCAUAUCUUACUAGUUAAAGCAAAAGGGAGGGAUAAGUUCCGAAACCAGUAAAAUGAUUACAAAAUUCAUGGAUGCUAUGUUAUUUUGAAUUAUCAAGCUCAACUUCAAUAAUCUGCUAGCAAAAAAACAACCUUGAAUGAGCAAUCUUUCCAAUAUCAAAGGUUAAAAAGCUGGCAGGAGUGCAAGAGAUGGUAGUUCAAAUUAUUUGUUGACCUUAUUUUCCCCCUAGGAGAAUGAACUCUAAUCAUUUAAGAAGUUAGAAAUAUAUAUCUAGUCAAAUAAAUAAGAGAACAAUAAACACAAAAGAUAUUAAGCCAAUCGAACCAACUAUAGAUACCAUAAGCAUCAAGCAGCAAAAAAGCUUAAAAGCAAUGGAGCAGCAGCAGCUUCCAUACAUUCAACAAUUAUUCCCAGAUAUUACUGAGCCAGAGCAAACAGUUCUUAGCAAUCAUAUCAGUCCACAAAUUCUUUGUGUUAAUAGGAAAUAAAAACAUAAAAGGAAAGAUCUUAUUAACCAAGCCACCACCUUCAUCGUCAUCAAAAUCACCAGCAUUUGCUCCAAGACCUUGCAUUCCAGCUUGGUCUGUAACAGCUGACACCUAAAUAGAAAAAUGAGGACUCGGGUAGUUGAACUCCCAAAUUACUUAAUAUAUGGUUUUAAGCAAAAUCAUCCGUUUGGGAAACCAUAAGGAUGCACAAUUAUGUAACAAUGCAACGACUUCUGAAAACCUGAAUCUAAAGCAUCAUUCUAAGUGGCAACUCUGAUCCACCCUAUAAAUCUCAGAAUGAUAGCAGUCUGUGACACAUCGCCACAACACAUUCAAAUAUUUCAAAAAACAAAAGCAAAAAAGGCUUCUAUUCAGGAAAUACCACAAAACUAUUUAAGACCAUGAUACUAAUAGUAUCAUCAACUAGUGCCUGUAGUUAUCGGUAAAAUUACGUGCUACAACAAUCUGCACAUUAUGAGAAGUUCACCACAUCAACUACGUGCUGCUCAAUGUGCGCAUUAACAAAAACCCCAGCUCAUGCACUAUUGCACAGUAGGCCUGCUGGGUUUCGCUACCUUACAGUGAUCACACUGUAUAAUCCAUUUGGACAAUGAAAGGCUGAACAGAGUCAACAACAAAAAAUUCCAACAACCAAAUAAAUGCAUGCCAUGUUAAAAAAGCAUCGCCAAAUUAACCAGAGGAACUAACAUACCAGUAACACACACAACCUAAUUGAUGAACUUGGAAAGAGUACACAAUGCAAGCAUAUUUCUGGAGGAAGAAGUAUAAUAACAAUAUAGUAAAGUGCCAUUACCUUAAUUAGUCGACCUGCAAUCUCCAAUUUUCCAUUCAAACUCAGUGCAUUUCUAGCAUCUUCAAGACGUGAGAACUGCAAGCAACUGAUUCAAUGAGUUUGAUUUAUUCAAUACAAUUACAAGGAAUCAUAUCCAGCAUCUGAUAAGAACAACUGGAAUGGAAUUGAACUAAAAGGAAGGGGAAAAAAACAUUGCCAACCCAACUUGAUUUCAUUGGCCUUUCAGGUUUUAAAAUAUUGUAACCUGAAAUUGUAUGAUGGGUUGACCCUUAACCCAACCCAUGCCCGCACCUAGCUAAGGAUUUGGCAGUCGGAAGUUUUUGGUGCCCACUCUUCUCAGUUUGAGUUGGGAAGAAACUUGAAAGAAUCAAGAAAAGGUGUGCAUUUGUUUAGAGUCGAUUUCAAAUUCCAACUCAAGCUAUAACGAACCGGCAGUUGACAGUUUUCUUUUUCUUUCCUUUAAUAAAUUUCCCCUACAUGGAUUUGGACUUGAAAAUAAAUAUAAAUAAAUGACAGAACUGAAGGAUGCCAACAGUCUUUGAAGUUUUAAUUAAACCUGUUAUGGAUUGCUUGUUGGUUGACCUUUGGCUUAAUAUAACUAGCUGCAUGCAUACAUUUAUACAUUUAUUCUAUAUCCAGGCUGCUUAAGUUGAAAGUUGUAGUCAAACAGACCUGCACAAAUCCAAAACCUUUGCAGUUGUUAGUUUCGUCAACAGCUAACUGAACCAGUUCUACAGGACCAAAUGCUCCAAAAACAUAUAUAUAUAUAUAUAUAUAUCACAUAUUAAAGGGUGAAGUCAAAAUGCAAAAAAUAUUCACAAUUACAAAGACGAAAUUAGGAAACUGUGAACAGAAGUGCUCAAAAGCAACCACAAAAAAAAAAUUACAUAACCAACAGCAAGCUUGAUUAUGUACAUUAUCCGAUGCCAACAUUAGAACUGUGUCAGAAAAUUACUCAUCUGGAGGAGAUCGUCUUCUUUUAUAUUGGUAUGGAGAUUUCCCACAUACAGCUUUCUAGCUCCGCCAGAAUAUGGGCCUAUCAUCCCACCUGGUCCGCUAACCACAGAUGUUGAUUGAACCAGAUUCUUCUCAGCCUCUGAUGGCUUCACCAUCACUGGUUGACCAAGAAGAGGCUGACCAGAAAGUGCAAUCGCCAUUGGUACCGACAUUGCAUCAUAAAACUCAAUAUACCUACAAACUAGACAACAUUAGACUCUUGGAUAAUCAAAAACCAAUUGCCACAUACAGAUGCAUAUAAUAGCGAAGUUUACUGGAGUCUCCACACAUAGUUCAAAACAGGGAAAGAAAAAUGUCCUAUAUGAUAUAUCUGAUCAUCUUGACCAACUAGAAUAACCUAUAGUAUAUACUAUAUGUACUGCUUUUAGUACAAAGGUGAUCAAUAUAAUCGUAAACUUUCUAAGAUGAUGGUGCAAAUUUUGAACAUUGUAAAUGAUGUGAUGAUUCUACGUACUGCACAAGAAAACGUUGGAACAAGGAAGAUGCAGCCAUCAAGAAGGGAGCAGGAACUGCCAACCAUUCCAAAAAUGACCAAGCGACAUUAAAAGGAUAGUCUUAUUUGAACCUUAGAAUGAAAUCUUUGGUUUCUUGUCAACACAACCAUAUAAAUUUUUCAUUAACAACCGGAUAAUUUAAGACUCUCACAUCAUCUUAAACGCUACCAUUGCAUAAUGGGUAAUUGUUAAAGUGAACCUUCUGUUAACAACCAUCCAAAGCUUUUGUCACCAAGACAUAAGAAAAACUUACCCAACUCCCUUAGAACGUCUUGAAUUGCGAUCCAUAAUGAGGCGUACAUCACGGACCUAAAAAUACACAAUUCAGAGCUAUUAGAUAGACAAUCAUAGAAAUAUACUAACAGUUACAUCCACAGAAGCACUUAAUGGAAACCGUUAUGGGUUUCCAGUAUUUGGUUUAGUUGAAGCACUGCAUCAGAUAGUGUUAGGGUGCCCUUGAGAGCAGAAGGUGAAAAUAUAAUGCAUUUAUAUCAAAAAGUCCCUUUUAGCUAAAUAGUUUACGAUCUUUAUCCACCAUCUUCUAUGAUUUGUUAAAUGAACGAGAAAUGUACAAACCUUGCCAGCCCUUGAGAAGAACUCGUAUACAUCUCUUUCAUCUGCCUUCAGACAAAUCUGUCAAAGUUGUUCACUAAAUCUUAAUGGUUAAGAUAUGAGAAUGUGAAAGAUAGAAAGUUCAAGAUAACACCAUAGAACGCAUGCACCAACAUAUUUGCUCUUCUAUGGACCUGACUUGUGCUUCACUGCUUCAGCUUCCCAAUCUCAAGCUCAAAUUUGCAGCUAAAUUUUUUCAAUUUCGGGUUUCAGACUUUCAGUCAGUCGCAGUGUUUGAAAAAUCGGCCUAGGCGGCUAGGAGGUCGCUAUGAGGGCGCUAGGCGGCUAGGAUGUCGCUAGGCGGGCGCUAGGCGGCUAGGCGGUCGCUAGUAGGGCGCUAGGCGGCUAGGCGGUCGCUAGGCGGGCACUAGGCGGGCGCUAGGCGGCUAGGCGGUUGCUAGGCGGUCGCUAGGAGGCUAGGUGGUCGCUAGGCGGCUAGGAUGUCGCUAGGCGGGCGCUAGGCGGUCGAUAGGAGGCUAGGUGGUUGCUAGGCGGGCUCUAGGCGGGCUCUAGGCGGCUAGGCGGUCACUAGGCGGGCGCUAGGUGGCCGCUAGGAGGCUAGGCAGGCGCCUAGGGAGGUUGGGUCUUUUCUCCGUGCCGAACUCGGAGAAUGAAGCAGUAACUGCGAGUGCAGGUUCCGUCCUCUGCGAGUGCAAGCUUCGUGUUCGUAAAGAAUAUAUUUAAAGGGUAUAGCCGGUCGGCUAUACUUUUAAAAUAUUCGAAUGUAUUUAGACAGUACAGCCGAACGGCUAUACUGUUAAAGUAUUCGAACAUAUUUGAACAGUAUAGCCGCCCGGCUAUACUCUUUAAAUACACAAUUUUGUCAUAUUAUUUUAGGGUUUAUGUUAGGGUUAAAAUACAAAAAACAUGAGAAGAAAGCUCCAACUGCACAUUAUAUCUCAUUGAAAAAUCAACAAAUUAUUGUCCAACAACUUAAAUUAUCGUGACAAGAAGAUGAACUAGAUAUGCACAAUGCUGGAGGAUGGUGAUAACUCCCUUUAGAAGGUAUAAGGUAGUUCUUUGUUAAUAAGUUACAAAAAUAUAAGGUAUAAGGUAGUUCUUUGGGCUGGGCAGGCACCCAACAUGCCCUUUGCAUAGCCCCGCCACUGUAUAAGGUAGUUCUGUAUUAAUAAGUUAUAAAGAUAUGGAUUGCAAAGUUUUUCACCAUAUAAAAUCAGAUUCACCUCAAUACAGUCAUAUCGAUGGAUAAUGCCAAGUAUAUUAAGCAGCUACCUUUUGUACUCAUGUAUUCGCUUUGUCUGAACAUCAAACAUUGCAUCUAAACUAACCUGCAGUUGAAAGUGUUAAAUUUCAAUGUAAUCUAUUAGACAUACCUUCAAGACAAAAGAGAAAAGAUGAACAGGAUAGAAGUUCUAAGAACUUGUGAUCAAAACUUCACACCACUCAUUGCUUCAAUGUACUCAGCGAGCCUCAUUUUGUUAACCUUCUUAACCUACAACAUGAGCAUAUAUACAACAGAUUUAAAUACAAAAGAAGCCAAAAGCUUAAUAUAUUUUUGGUUCCUAAGCAGAUAUCAAGCCUAGUGAGUACCAUCAUCCAUUCUUGUUGAAGGUCAGGAUCUGCUGCAUAUGCUCGCAAGCCAGUUGCAAGCAAUGUCCCACGCUUCAUUCCAACCCAAAUGCUCUUCAUCAACAAGCACUCUCAUGACCUUAGAUAUUUUUUAGAGAUAUAUGGGUGAGUAUCACUGAGCUGCAGAGCACCCUAAUUAAGACAAUGAGAAAUGAGCCGAGGAAAAAAGGAAAAACAGAAAAGCAAGCCUGAAUGACUGUCAGAGGAAAGUAAUAAAUAUAAGUUCAUUGUAGCUAAACAAGCUGCCAGAUUGGGUAUUCCCUAGAAAUCAGCAUAUGAUAUACUUACACCUUCUCUGAAAAUUCAUCAAAGUUACUGUAAGCCUCUUUAUAUUUCCGAAUUAUGUCUUGUAUGGAUUCUGAGAUAAAGACAUAUAUUGUUGCUUCAAUCGCAGUUCCUUCCCCUGUAAUACAAAAUAAAGUGAAAAGGGAAACAUACUAAAUGAGAAUAUAUAUGAGACGUCCACAUAGAAACUAGGUAAUUGAGUUUAUGACUUUUCUCCGGAACUUCUAAGAGAGUACAUUUUCUCAGAAACAUACAGAUAAAACAAAAGAACAAUAAUGAUGUUUAAUGUUUAUAUGGUGAAUAGAAACGCAGGGAAAUAAGACGUGCGAAAGUAAGAAGGAAAGCUUGGUGUUGGUGAGAGAUAAGACUUUGGGGGCAUAGACAUGAAGAAAGAUGUGCAAAAGUGAACAAGGAGGGUUAAAAAAAUAAAAAUAAAAAAAGGGACAGGACCUUAAGUUUGACAUUAGUUGGGUUAGGGUAAUUAUUAUUUUUAAUUAAGGGUAAAUUGGGUUUUUGUUUGAAGAAUGAUGUGUCAAUUUUUAAAGUCUCUUAUAUUGUAACAUCCCACAUCGACCAACGGAAAGGGGGUGAUGUGCCUUAUAUGUACAUGCCCGCCUCCAUUUAGCAUGAGGCCUUUUGGGAGCUCACUAGCUUCGGAGUCAUGGGAACUCCGAAGUUAAGCGAGUUGAGCUAAACCAAUUCCAAGAUGGGUGACCAACUGGGAAGUUGCUCGUGAGCUCCUAGAAACAAAACCGUGAGGAUAGAGAGGGGGGCCCAAAACGGACAAUAUUGUGCUACGGCGGAGCCGAUCCUGGGAUGUGACAUAUAUUAUAUUUAAUGAGGUGGCGUACGGAAGACAAAAGUCAAGUAGAUCCAAGCAAAGGUAAAAGUCGGGAAUUUAAGAGGAGAAAUUGACAAUUCCCUUGUUUGGCAAGUUAAGCCCAGAAAUUAUUAAAUGACGGGCGGAAAAAAUCGUGAAAUUUGGAGCAUCAAAUUCCCGAGUUUAAUUUCCAGCAAAAUAAGUGUCAUUUCACAAUUUUCAUAGUGUGCCAUUUACAAAAUUCGACAAACAUAAAUCCAAAUAUCGAAAUCUUCAAUUGCCAGAAAUUGAAAUGAUGAAAAUCGAAAUUCUGUCAUUUUAGAAUUCUAUGUAAUUUUCAAUUUCUUCAUCCAAACGAAAGGUCAUGUUUCCCUCUUAUAGGAAACUAUGAUCAUCAUUUAAUACACCAUUCAAGAUCAAUUUGUCCCCAUUAACAAUUUAGAAUUACAAUUUUAUCCAACAACAAAGACCCUUUGUAAUUUUUUCUUAUUUUUAUUUUAUAUAUUUCUAACUUGGGUAUAAUUGGAAAACUAACCAAAGUUUGCUUUCCAUUAUAGGGAGGAGAUAAAUGCACGCUAGUCUAAAUACCUAUUAGUAUUACCAGUCAAUGAAAGAUUGAAUUUCUUCAAAAUGCUAAAAAGAUAAAUCAACUUUAAUUUUAAUUACCAAGUGCCAAAAUCCACAUAUGGAGUCUAACUUGUACAUGUAUGAGUAUGACACGAUUUGUUUUAUUUUCUCUUCUUUUUUGGCUUUUGGUGUGGAAAGCUUGCGGCCUUUUACCUUUUAUUUUUGGACAAGUUAUGUGAUGUUUUUAAUUUCUUACCUUCUCACAAAAAAGUUGAAAGUUUUAAUUUCUCCCCCUAACAAAUUUAAUUAACAGAUGAGUUCGUUUUUCUAUUCCCCUCCUAAACUAAAGUUGGUUUAGAGGACUUUAGUUGGCUUUGCUAAAGACUCUUUUGUUAUAAGAGGCAACAAGAUGACAUGAGAACAGAAAACAGAUCACAAUCUUAACUACUGUCUACACAAUACCAACUAGAACUCUUGCAUCUUUUCACAAUGUUGGAAGAGGCGCAAGAUCGAAUCUCCCGUCUCCGUUAAUAAAUAAAAAAAAACUAUAAUUAACUUAACACAGCAUAAGAUAAAUGUUGAUUAGGAAACUACACUUGCUAGCGCAAGCUUUAGCAGGGCAAGAACAAAGAAACAAACAUCAUAUUAGUACCUGGCCAGUGCCACCAAGGCUAAUGGGCUGGACUGGAGUGGUGCCGUUGGUUAAUUUGUAAAGAAACACCGGUGCUAUUGACAGCGGGAGUGCCUAGGGGACCAACAAUACUGCAUACAAAGCCAAUGUAAGACCAACUACAACAAUUCAGAAUAGAAUAAAGUGCUCAGAAAAUACCAACCCUGAUCCAGAGCCACUGCGAUCCAAUUUCUGCAUGAGAAUUGCUCGAGAGCGGGCAUUCAAUGGUGUAAAAUGUGCAGCUAUCAAAGAGAUAGUCCCUAGCAAGGUUGAGAUGUUCUUAUGCACCAGAUGCUAAAAGUUAUAGAUAUGAAAAGGUGUUAAAAUUUGAACAAUCAACUUUUCAUCUGAUUAGUCUACCUUGGCUUUGAGGAUGGUUCCAUCAGCACGAUGACCAAGCUUAAAGUAGCCCGAUAAUGCUAUAAAGUAGAAGUACAAUUUAGAUGAAGAUGGGGAUGACGAUCACACUAAAGACAAGUGACAACAGCCAAUGUUCAAUCUGAUCUACCUUUUCUUAUCUAUUAUUGAAGCAUUAAACCCCAAUAAUGCCACCAAAUGCUUUGUAUUGUUUAUUUAGCAGCCAUGUUUUCUUUUUAGCAGUUAUCUUUGAGCACAAGGAAAGUAUUGUUUGUUGGAUUCAUCGGCAUAAGCCGUCUUACACCAACUAACUCUUAACCUAAUGGUGUUUCUCUUUUCAACGUUAAAAGAUGUCUCAAUGUUGUUAAUAAAGAUUAAAAAGAAAUGUCCCCUUACAGAAACUCCAUACAAAUUACAAAAUGACAAAAGAAAGUUCUUGCACUAAUAUGAUUGACAUAUAAGGUUACAUGCAAGUCACUAUUAUAUAUGCAGAGGAAGUAUCAUUGCAUUUAAGAGAUGCUGAGCUUUCCACAAUCAAAAUCUGCCUUCUUCAACCGCAAACCAGCCAGGAUUGGAGAUAAACAUUUGUCCCUGAAGAAGUUCAUAAAUUUUCCAUUACUCUCUUGUAAGAAACCAACCACAUAAGAUGUACUAAUCAGAUCAAAGCUUCUCCAUCUCCUCUCAUUGGCAUACUUGUUCAACCCCAUCUCAAUCCUCUCAUACUCUUCCUUUCCUUCUACACCCUCCUUAUCUUUUCUUUCUCCCCCUGAGUUCUUCAACAAGGCCUCACCAAGACACCUUGCCAAUACAACGCUGUCUUCUAAUGCACAGCAGCCGCCUUGGCCAAGGUCUGGGGUCAUGGGGUGGAGCGCGUCUCCUGCGACACAAGCAUUGCCUUUGCUGAUGUUUCCCCAAAGAAGCUCCCAAGGAUGCCUAUAUCUCAAUGGAGAGGAUAUAAAAGCAUCCAAUUCGGUGUUUUCUACCACAGCUUUUACUUUAUCAGGUAUCUUUCCGAGCUUGCUUAACAUAUAUUGCUUCAGUUGAGCUGGGUUCUCUUCUAGCUCUUUCUCUAAUAGACAUGAAGAAUAAACAAAAAAUGUAACAUACAGAUACUGGUUUGAUUGCAAUUUUACAUACUACGUACACUUCUUAACAGCCAAUAUGAAGUCCUAAAGUUUCUGAAUUGAAAAGGAAAAAAAUUAUCAUCUUGUCUAGAUGCUGAGAGUAACAUAUAGUAUGAAACAUUCUAUCACGGUUUUUUUAUUUGUGGUGAGAUUGAUAUCUUAAGUUAUAUUUUUUGCUCCAAGGAUCUGUCGUAUGUUUGAGCCUUGACUUGAGGGUACCAAAAGGAAACAUGGAAGCAAAGAAUCCCCAAAAUUUGUGUGAAAGCUUACCUUGGCUAGAGGGAGUCCAUGUAAUGUACCAGUAAACAUUUGCAUCAUCACAAGGGACGGCACCAGAUCUAAUACCAUUCCCAAAGUACUGCAUGAACAUGGGAUCAAAUCCAUGACAGCUCUUGAAGGUAGCACAACCUCUAAUAGCAGAUCUCCCUGUAAAUGCCGGCGGCUUGAAGCCGAGCCAUUUUGCCACCACGGAGUUCACUCCAUCACACCCAACCAAGACCUAUUCAAUCACAACAUUAUAACUGUAAGAGAUGAAAGUACCUAAAAAAUUAAGUAUUCCAUCUAAAAAGAGUUGCCUUGUGGAACCAACCUAGUUAGGAAGAAAAUGACAAAGUUUCAAGCUUGGAGGUUAAAAAAGGCAAAAAGGUUUUGGUUCAAUUGGGACAGUCUAGCAGGCCAUGGCGGAUCCGAGUGGCACUGACCCGUUAUCCUUCCACUGCCAAUAGCGGGAGGUAGUCGUUGCUCUGUAAAGCCAGUCUUACGCAGUGCCCUCCACUCUAGAAACCCAGUGACCCAGAGCCUUCGCUCAAGCCACAGGGUUCAACUCCUGGCUUGGAAUGGGCGGGCCAGAAGAUAGCCAACCCGAACCCGACCAGCUAAUACUGGGACAAUGUUCCAGCACCUCAAAGCCCCCACUCGGGUUACAAGCUCACACUGCUAAGCUCGGCGAUACAACUUCCUCCUGUUAGGUUUAUGAAGUGUGGG